CCUACGGGGGGCAGCAGUGGGGAAUAUUGGACAAUGGGGGGAACCCUGAUCCAGCGACGCCGCGUGAGUGAAGAAGUAUUUCGGUAUGUAAAGCCCUAUCAGCAGGGAAGAAAGAAGACGGUACCUGACUAAGAAGCCCCGGCUAACUACGUGCCAGCAGCCGCGGUAAUACGUAGGGGGCGAGCGUUAUCCGGAUUCACUGGGUGUAAAGGGAGCGUAGACGGCCGUGCAAGCCAGGAGUGAAAGCCCGGGGCCCAACCCCGGGACUGCUCUUGGAACUGUGCGGCUGGAGUGCGGGGGGGGCAGGCGGAAUUCCUGGUGUAGCGGUGAAAUGCGUAGAUAUCAGGAGGAACACCGGCGGCGAAGGCGGCCUGCUGGACCGCGACUGACGUUGAGGCUCGAAAGCGUGGGGAGCGAACAGGAUUAGAUACCCCUGUAGUC
Molecule: ribosomal RNA, 441 nt
Filed under: uncultured bacterium
Lineage: Bacteria
Description: partial 16S ribosomal RNA
Rfam family: Bacterial small subunit ribosomal RNA
Source: RNAcentral